AUCGCUUCUCGGCCUUUUGGCUAAGAUCAAGUGUAGUAUCUGUUCUUAUCAGUUUAAUAACUCUGUCAAGUUGGGAAUCCUUAUCACUGUUAGCCUCAGUUUACCCCUGAGGUCACUAGGGACAGACAGAAAGGAUUAACUAACUUUUCUAUGUUGGGAAAAGAA
Molecule: small nuclear RNA, 165 nt
Organism: Myotis lucifugus (little brown bat)
Lineage: Eukaryota; Metazoa; Chordata; Mammalia; Chiroptera; Vespertilionidae
Gene: U2
Rfam family: U2 spliceosomal RNA
About the family: U2 is a small nuclear RNA (snRNA) component of the spliceosome (involved in pre-mRNA splicing). Complementary binding between U2 snRNA (in an area lying towards the 5' end but 3' to hairpin I) and the branchpoint sequence (BPS) of the intron results the bulging out of an unpaired adenosine, on the BPS, which initiates a nucleophilic attack at the intronic 5' splice site, thus starting the first of two transesterification reactions that mediate splicing.
Source: Ensembl